RNAcentral lists this ribosomal RNA (1188 nucleotides) under Triticum aestivum (bread wheat). RNAcentral describes it as "partial small subunit ribosomal RNA". Lineage: Eukaryota; Viridiplantae; Streptophyta; Magnoliopsida; Poales; Poaceae. The record is from RNAcentral.
AUGAGGACGCGAGCGGCGGAGUGCGGCGAGGAGCUGCGGCUGUCCGUCCCCGGAGAGUACCCCUGCGUCCGGCGGUUCCGUUACCGGCGGCUCCUCACUUUCCUCUGGCUCCAAGGCUAUGGCUACACCUUCGUUGCGAUGCUGAGGCAGACGAACGCCUACCUGUGCGUGUUCCAUCUGAAGCACCUGGUGUCGCAGGGGCAGUGGACCGAAGCCCUGGAGUACAUCAUCCCACGCUUCCUGCCGCGAGUCCCCCGUUCGCCGCCGAGCCUCGAGGCCCGCGUCCUCGUCAAGUUCCUCCGCACGCAGCGCUUGUUCGAGCUGGCAGUAGUCAGGCACCUGGACGAGCAUUCUCUGGACCGGAGAGCCAUGUGGGCUAGAGCAGCGGAGAUCGUCGGGGACUUGGCCAACAGGACUCCGGAGUUCAGAGACCGGCUGCUACUGCCGGACGGCCCGAUGGGUCCGCAGCACGUCCUCCCCAUCGGCUUCGGCUUUGCUCCUUUCCGUCGGAGGCGGCACGUCAAGACCCAUACCCGUCCUACCGGCAAGCUUGCACGUCAUCGACAUACCCGUCGGGUAGCUAAACUCUAUUUUGACAAGAGGAUGAGCCUGGCUUCUUGCAGCCACAGCACCCAGGAGUUGGCACCUGAAAUCAUAGCUAAGGCGAAGGAUGAUUGGUUCAGGAGAAUUAUGGAGGAAUGUGUUAAAGCCGGCACAUGCCCGAAGCUUAAUCAAGGCUGUGCACCUCAACCGUGUGCAAGAGAAGGUAUUCCUGCUACUGGCAAUGUGAUAAAGCCUGAAUGUUCUUCGGUCCCAUUAGCAACUGGUGCAGCAAAUCGGGGACCGUCCAUGAUGAGGUUGAGGACGCGAGCGGUGGAGUGCGGCCAGGAGCUGCGAUUGUUCGUCUCUGGAGAGUACCCUUGUGUGAGGCGGUUCCGUUACCGGCGCCUCCUCGCUUUCCUCUGGCUCCAAGGCUAUGGCUACACCUUCGUUGCGAUGCUGAAGCAGACAAACUCCUACUUCUGCGUGUUUCAUCUGGCGCACUUGGUGUCACAGGGGCAGUGGACCGAAGCCUUGGACUACAUCAUCCCUCGCUUCCUGCUGCAAGUCUCCCGUUCGCCGCCGAGCCUUGAGGCCCGAGUCCUCGUCAAGUUUCUCCGCAUGCAACGUUUAUUCGGUGGGAAGUAA